AUCUCUGCUUUCUUUCCUCUUGUCCCUGCUGUCUGUCGCCGACUGGGAGAGUGUGUAGCAUUGCCUGCAGAAGUGGGACUCGAUGCAGCCACGGCCAGGGCGGAGUCAAGGUGCUGCUGGCUCUGGCUGUUUGGGGAGGGACCUAAGUGUCAGGUGAUGGCCUGGGCGGAGUUUUAGGAUGCAGGAUGGAGGAGGGAGACCAGGAGAGGCGAGGAGGAGUGUUUGUAUGGUGCUGCUGUCGGCGGCCCUGUCGAGGAGGGGUCGAGGCUACGGCCAGGGCGGAGCUCAGGACGGAGGAGGGCGAUCAGCAGAGAAGACUAAGAGGGG
Molecule: long non-coding RNA, 327 nt
Organism: Toxotes jaculatrix (banded archerfish)
Lineage: Eukaryota; Metazoa; Chordata; Actinopteri; Toxotidae
Exons: 5
Source: RefSeq, a predicted model, not a curated record